UACGUAGGGGGCAAGCGUUGUCCGGAAUCAUUGGGCGUAAAGCGCGUGUAGGCGGCUCGAUAAGUCUGCUGUGAAAGUCCAGGGCUCAACCCUGGGAUGCCGGUGGAUACUGUCGGGCUCGAGUCCGGAAGAGGCGAGUGGAAUUCCUGGUGUAGCGGUGAAAUGCGCAGAUAUCAGGAGGAACACCAAUGGCGAAGGCAGCUCGCUGGGACGUGACUGACGCUGAGACGCGAAAGCGUGGGGAGCGAUCCGG
This 253-nucleotide ribosomal RNA is filed under the name uncultured bacterium. Its description in RNAcentral is "partial 16S ribosomal RNA". It matches the Rfam family "Bacterial small subunit ribosomal RNA", at positions 524 to 776 of the family's 1533-position model. The record is from RNAcentral.